ACGACCGUCUCACGUGCAUUUCCAAAAGAGAUACCAGACAGAGAGGAGUAGCUCUCCAUCUCUUUCUCUCUCUCACUAACUCCAACUGCCAACCAACCAAAACAAACCCAUUCCCACGGAAAUCCCCAGGCCCCACGUUCCGGCGGGUCGUCCCGCCAAUUCUCAUGACCCGAACCUACUCUCGGCAAACUCAACAAGACCCGACCCGAAACCCCUCUGGAACCACCGCCAUGCGCCUCAUUGUGCCACUCCAAGGCGUGGUGCAAGGCAGAGGCGGCCUUAUCUGGGGUUCUCUUAUCCCCUGCGCCCUCUUCUACUUCCUCCAGUUCUAUCUCAAACGACACCGUCCUCCGAGUACAUCCUCGAAUCCUCCGUCGCCGUCCCAGUCCUCCUCGAACCUUCCUGAACUCCAACGGUCGUCUUCGAGGUCAAACUUGUCCAGUCGUGGAUCCAUCGGCCGGGUCACGCUAUCUUCUCGGGGAACUUUCAUUGCAAAACCGAACGACUCGCCUUACUAUAUUGGAUUGGAUAAGGUUAGGGAGGAUCCAUAUGAUAGAUUGGGUAACCCUAAUGGUGUUAUUGAGCUUGGUUUGGCCGAGAACAAGUUGAGUUUUGAUCUGAUUGAUAAAUGGGUUUCUGGUAAUUUGACUAAUUCGAUAAUUGGAACCAAUGGUGGCGAUUUGAAUAUCAGCGGCAUUGCAGCAUACCAACCGUUCGAUGGAUUGACUGAACUGAAAGUGGCUAUUGCUGAUUUCAUGACUCGAGUCGUGGAAAGAACUAUCACAUUUGACCCAUCUCAAAUUGUGUUGACCGCUGGAGCAACCCCUGCUACUGAAAUUUUGAGCUUCUGCUUGGCAGACAAUGGAAACGCAUUUCUUGUUCCCACACCUUAUUAUCCUGGCUUUGAUAGAGAUGUUAGAUGGCGAGCUGGGGUUGAGCUAAUUCCUGUUCAUUGCCGUAGCACUGAUAACUUUACUUUGAAUAUCACUGUUCUUGAUCAAGCAUUCAAUCAGGCAAGAAAGCGAGGAGUAAAAGUGCGUGGAAUACUAAUUUCAAAUCCUGUUAAUCCCGUUGGCAAUGUACUGUCCCGGGAAACACUUUGUGGUAUUUUAGACUUUGCCCAGGAGAAGAACAUCCAUGUUAUCUCUGAUGAAAUAUUUGCUGGGUCCACGUAUGGAAAUGAGGAUUUUGUGAGCAUGGCAGAAGUUAUUGAGACAGAGAAUUUCGAAAAGAGCAGGGUUCACAUAAUAUACGGACUGUCGAAAGACCUAUCUAUUCCAGGCUUUAGAGUUGGUGUUAUUUAUUCUUACAACGAGAGUGUUUUGGCUGCUGCAAAAAAGUUAACAAGAUUUUCUUCAAUCUCUGCUCCUGCCCAGCGUCUUCUAGUAUCGAUGCUUUUAGAUACAAGAUUCCUGGAGGAAUACAUGAAGAUCAACAAAGAAAGGAUGCGUCAUAUGCACAACUUAUUUGUGGCAGGUUUGGAGCAAUUAGGAAUCAAGUGCGCAAAGAGUAGUGCUGGUUUCUACUGUUGGGCUGAUAUGAGUCGGUUAAUUCCAUCGUACAGUGAGAAAGGGGAACUUGAGUUAUGGGAUAAGCUGUUGAAUGUUUCUAAGAUCAAUGUAACUCCUGGGUCAGCUUGCCACUGCAUAGAGCCAGGCUGGUUUCGUUGUUGUUUUACUACUAUAGCUGAAGAUGAUAUUCCUGUAGUUAUGGACCGGAUCCGAAGAAUUACUGAAACUGAUUCUGUUUUCUCAUUUGGACAGCCUUUCUUCGGUAGCUCCUCCUCCGGCUCAUCAUUAUCAACUCCCCUAGUGUUUGUGGCCCCCUUACCAUGUGACUAUCGUUACUUUCAUGAUCAAACUUUUGAUUCCACACUUGUUGUGGUGUCACGGACUCCUCUGAUGGCCCAACCUUUCCAAGAAAUCCAGAAUUAGGUGGAAACAAUGGGAAGAGGCAUUCCAGGAAAGAAGCCCCCGCAAGGCUUGAAUUUCCAGUUGCAUAGCUGCUUGUACUGCUGUCUGUUUCUGAUGCUGGUGAAGAUGGGGAGUCUAGCAUAUCACUGUUGUUGUCUUCAGUUGAGGAAGUGUUGUGUGCUGGAACAGCGGUAGAAAUCGCGGCCGAUGACACCAGGCAGUUUGCUAGUAGAGAGGGAGCAGAACUAUAUGAAUUGUCUGUUCCCGAACCAUAUGUUUCAAGAUCCAAUUUAAACAGACUUUGAUUUUCAUAUUCUCCAUCAUUGGAAUCACCACUGCUGUAAUAUUCGAUAUUUUCAUCAGUUUCAACAUCCUUGGAGCAGUAACCAUGUGUUGGUGGUAAUGGAAAAAGUGCAGUUAGUGAUUCUUGUGGUGGCUGUGAAAAAGAAGGUAGUGGUGUCCCAGGCUUUUCUUCCCACUCAAAAGGAACCGAGGCAAUGAGCUUGAGUGGAGGAGUUGAAACCGAAGUACGUGAAGGAGCCUCUGGUUUCCAGUCCUUUUUAGGCAUCCCUGGCCUUACUUCCCAUAGAAAUGGAACUGAAGGUGGUUGCCUCUCCUUCUUUCUUGAGGGACUCAUCGAUGUUAUUCAUGCUAAACAACAGAGUUUCCUACUCGACCAGUGAUAUAUGCUUAGCCGACCAGGGAAGUUGUAUCUCCUCUCCCGACCAAGAAAACUUUGCACCUGAUCAGCUAAACCUUGUACUUGGCUAAUAGUUUGCUCUUUAUUCUUGUGAAGACAAUUGUUGCUUAGCAGCUUUAAUAUUUUUCUCGUACAGCCGAGCUGUUGGCAUUUAUACUUUACUUUUCUUUGCUAACUUAAAACAUUCUAAGUCUUUUUAGACUUAAAAAGUUAUAAGUUUUUUGUGAAUAGUAAAGUCACUCUGAUGUAUGCCU
RNA transcript from Humulus lupulus (European hop), 2867 nucleotides. It is a transcript of the gene named probable aminotransferase ACS12, with no coding region annotated. The transcript is spliced from 6 exons. The record is from RefSeq and is a predicted model, not a curated record. NCBI's taxonomy places the organism in Eukaryota, Viridiplantae, Streptophyta, Magnoliopsida, Rosales, Cannabaceae.